Molecule: ribosomal RNA, 502 nt
Filed under: uncultured crenarchaeote
Lineage: Archaea; Thermoproteati; Thermoproteota
Description: bacterial SSU rRNA
Rfam family: Archaeal small subunit ribosomal RNA
Source: RNAcentral
UCCGAGUGGUGUGGAUGUUUAUUGGGCCUAAAGCAUCCGUAGCUGGCUAGGUCAGUCCCUUGUUAAAUCCACCGAAUUAAUCGUUGGAUUGCGGGGGAUACUGCUUGGCUAGGGGACGAGAGAGGCAGACGGUAUUUUCGGGGUAGGGGUGAAAUCCUAUAAUCCCGGGAAGACCACCAGCGGCGAAGGCUGUCUGCUAGAACGCGCCCGACGGUGAGGGAUGAAAGCUGGGGGAGCGAACCGGAUUAGAUACCCGGGUAGUCCCAGCUGUAAACGAUGCAGACUAGGUGUUUGGACGGCCACGUGCCGUUCUAGUGCCGCAGGGAAGCUGUUAAGUCUGCCGCCUGGGGAGUACGAUCGCAAGAUUGAAACUUAAAGGAAUUGGCGGGGGAGCACCACAAGGGGUGAAGCUUGCGGUUUAAUUGGAGUCAACGCCGGAAAUCUCACCGGGAGCGACAGCAGUAUGAAGGCCAGAUUAAAGGUCUUGCCAGACGCGCUGAGA